Molecule: ribosomal RNA, 489 nt
Filed under: Pasteurella caballi
Lineage: Bacteria; Pseudomonadati; Pseudomonadota; Gammaproteobacteria; Pasteurellales; Pasteurellaceae
Description: bacterial SSU rRNA
Rfam family: Bacterial small subunit ribosomal RNA
Source: RNAcentral
AUUGAACGCUGGCGGCAGGCUUAACACAUGCAAGUCGAACGGUAGCACAAAGGAGCUUGCUCCUUGGGUGACGAGUGGCGGACGGGUGAGUAAUGCUUGGGAAUCUGGCCUAUGGUGGGGGAUAACUACGGGAAACUGUAGCUAAUACCGCGUAAAAUCUUCGGAUUAAAGUGUGGGACCUUCGGGCCACAUGCCAUGGGAUGAGCCCAAGUGGGAUUAGGUAGUUGGUGGGGUAAAGGCCUACCAAGCCGACGAUCUCUAGCUGGUCUGAGAGGAUGACCAGCCACACUGGAACUGAGACACGGUCCAGACUCCUACGGGAGGCAGCAGUGGGGAAUAUUGCACAAUGGGGGGAACCCUGAUGCAGCCAUGCCGCGUGAAUGAAGAAGGCCUUCGGGUUGUAAAGUUCUUUCGGUGGUGAGGAAGGUGGUUGUUUUAAUAGAACAAUCAAUUGACGUUAACUACAGAAGAAGCACCGGCUAACUCCGU